Molecule: ribosomal RNA, 586 nt
Filed under: Colletotrichum siamense
Lineage: Eukaryota; Fungi; Ascomycota; Sordariomycetes; Glomerellales; Glomerellaceae
Description: eukaryotic LSU rRNA
Rfam family: 5.8S ribosomal RNA (bases 222-375)
Source: RNAcentral
UAAAAGUCGUAACAAGGUCUCCGUUGGUGAACCAGCGGAGGGAUCAUUACUGAGUUUACGCUCUAUAACCCUUUGUGAACAUACCUAUAACUGUUGCUUCGGCGGGUAGGGUCUCCGUGACCCUCCCGGCCUCCCGCCCCCGGGCGGGUCGGCGCCCGCCGGAGGAUAACCAAACUCUGAUUUAACGACGUUUCUUCUGAGUGGUACAAGCAAAUAAUCAAAACUUUUAACAACGGAUCUCUUGGUUCUGGCAUCGAUGAAGAACGCAGCGAAAUGCGAUAAGUAAUGUGAAUUGCAGAAUUCAGUGAAUCAUCGAAUCUUUGAACGCACAUUGCGCCCGCCAGCAUUCUGGCGGGCAUGCCUGUUCGAGCGUCAUUUCAACCCUCAAGCUCUGCUUGGUGUUGGGGCCCUACAGCUGAUGUAGGCCCUCAAAGGUAGUGGCGGACCCUCCCGGAGCCUCCUUUGCGUAGUAACUUUACGUCUCGCACUGGGAUCCGGAGGGACUCUUGCCGUAAAACCCCCAAUUUUCCAAAGGUUGACCUCGGAUCAGGUAGGAAUACCCGCUGAACUUAAGCAUAUCAAUAAG